RNAcentral lists this transfer RNA (77 nucleotides) under Pseudovibrio sp. WM33. Its description in RNAcentral is "tRNA-Arg". It matches the Rfam family "tRNA". From Rfam's summary of the family: Transfer RNA (tRNA) molecules are approximately 80 nucleotides in length. Their secondary structure includes four short double-helical elements and three loops (D, anti-codon, and T loops). The record is from RNAcentral. Lineage: Bacteria; Pseudomonadati; Pseudomonadota; Alphaproteobacteria; Hyphomicrobiales; Stappiaceae.
GCACCCGUAGCUCAGUUGGAUAGAGCGCUGCCCUCCGAAGGCAGAGGCCACAGGUUCGAAUCCUGUCGGGUGCACCA